This 390-nucleotide ribosomal RNA is filed under the name uncultured bacterium. RNAcentral's name for it is "bacterial SSU rRNA". It matches the Rfam family "Bacterial small subunit ribosomal RNA", at positions 29 to 416 of the family's 1533-position model. The record is from RNAcentral.
AUUGAACGCUGGCGGAAUGCUUUACACAUGCAAGUCGAACGGCAGCACGGGGGCAACCCUGGUGGCGAGUGGCGAACGGGUGAGUAAUACAUCGGAACGUGCCCAGUCGUGGGGGAUAACGUAGCGAAAGGCUACGCUAAUACCGCAUACGAACUCUGGUUGAAAGCGGGGGACUCGCAAGAGCCUCGCGCGAUUGGAGCGGCCGAUGGCAGAUUAGGUAGUUGGUGGGGUAAAGGCUCACCAAGCCGACGAUCUGUAGCUGGUCUGAGAGGACGACCAGCCACACUGGGACUGAGACACGGCCCAGACUCCUACGGGAGGCAGCAGUGGGGAAUAUUGCACAAAUGGGCGAAAGCCUGAUGCAGCGACGCCGCGUGAGGGAUGACUGCC